This 935-nucleotide long non-coding RNA is filed under the name Suricata suricatta (meerkat). Its description in RNAcentral is "lncRNA (ENSSSUG00005014337.1)". The record is from RNAcentral. Lineage: Eukaryota; Metazoa; Chordata; Mammalia; Carnivora; Herpestidae.
AGUAAUCUGUUUCUCAUGGGAAAGAAAAGGCUUCUGAGCCCCAGGAACAGAACAGAAUGAGAGGUAGGUGGGCCAGACACAUACACAUAUAUCUAAACUAUGUUCCUAGUUCUGGCAGACUUUGAAAGCAAGAAAGGCCUCAGAAUGACAGAAGGGCCGAAAUUCAAUGUCACUUAGUGUAGGAUUGCAUUCAGCAAUGGUUUGCACUUAACCAAGCCAUCAAACUUGAAAUGAAAUCUGGCCGCCUAGGUUAGCUCAUUGAAUAGGGACUGCCUGGAGAGUAUUGAUGUAGUAAUGAUUUCAGCAGAUCUGAACUUCUGAUAGUUCCUCUGAAAUGUUUUCUGCACUGUACCUUUUAUGGCAGAAACAGCUAUCCAAACACCUAGAGAUUCACUCUGAGAAGAGGUCCAGUUGCCUGAGGAUGGAGGUUGAGGAGAUAUUUGGCUACCACUUAUCAUGAGCUUUUACAUUUCAGUCCCAGAACAUAUCAGGGUGUCUCACUGCCUUUCAAGGUUUUGCUACCUAAAAUGGAUAUGGACAUUUAUUUCAGCCUACCAAAGUACUCUGCUUCAGUUUAGUUCUGAGAGCUGGAACAAGGCCAUGGUGAGCUUUGAGGCAAGAAACCCAGGGCAGUCCACUUCACUCCCACUGAUGGUGUUUAGUAUCUGUUUUACACCAUAAUCCUUCCAAAUUCACAGACUGUAGUGAGCUCAGAUUUCCUAGAACACAUGCAUGGCCUCCCCCAUUGAAUACACCAGAAAGUCCUCUUGUAAACUCCCGGGAAGCAGAAGCCUCAGACCGAGAGACUAUUGGGUUUAUCUUGUCCUGGAACUGCUGACACAAUUAGCUUUGUAUUUGCCACCCUGUGGGAGGAAAGGCAUUGAGAAGAAUGUUGAGAAGCAAACACAGGGGAGUUUUAAGUUCUAUUUUAUAAC